GAUGAACGCUAGCUACAGGCUUAACACAUGCAAGUCGAGGGGAAACGGCAUCGAAAGCUUGCUUUUGAUGGGCGUCGACCGGCGCACGGGUGAGUAACGCGUAUCCAACCUGCCCAUCACUUGGGAAUAACCUUGCGAAAGUAAGACUAAUGCCCAAUGACAUCCCACGAAGGCAUCCGAACGGGAUUCAAGUUUUAUCGGUGAUCGAUGUGGAUGCGUCUGAUUAGCUUGUUGGCGGUGUGACGGCCCACCAAGGCAACGAUCAGUAGGGGUUCUGAGAGGAAGGUCCCCGACAUUGGAACUGAGACACGGUCCAGACUGCUACGGGAGGCAGCAGUGAGGAAUAUAGGACAAUGGGCGAGAGCCUGAACCAGCCAAGUAGCGUGCAGGAUGACGGCCCUAUGGGUUGUAAACUGCUUUUAUUAGGGAAUAAAGUGGGUCGCGUGUGACUUUUUGCAUGUACCUGAUGAAUAAGGACCGGCUAAUUCCGUG
This 492-nucleotide ribosomal RNA is filed under the name uncultured bacterium. RNAcentral's name for it is "partial 16S ribosomal RNA". It matches the Rfam family "Bacterial small subunit ribosomal RNA", at positions 28 to 507 of the family's 1533-position model. The record is from RNAcentral.